This 497-nucleotide ribosomal RNA is filed under the name uncultured bacterium. Its description in RNAcentral is "partial 16S ribosomal RNA". It matches the Rfam family "Bacterial small subunit ribosomal RNA", at positions 28 to 507 of the family's 1533-position model. The record is from RNAcentral.
GAUGAACGCUGGCGGCGUGCCUAAUACAUGCAAGUCGAGCGAACGGACGAGAAGCUUGCUUCUCUGAUGUUAGCGGCGGACGGGUGAGUAACACGUGGAUAACCUACCUAUAAGACUGGGAUAACCUCGGGAAACCGUAGCUAAUACCGGAUAAUAUUUUGAACCGCAUGGUUCAAAAGUGAAAGACGGUCUUGCUGUCACUUAUAGAUGGAUCCGCGCUGCAUUAGCUAGUUGGUAGGGUAACGGCUUACCAAGGCAACGAUGCAUAGCCGACCUGAGAGGGUGGUCGGCCACACUGGAACUGAGACACGGUCCAGACUCCUACGGGAGGCAGCAGUAGGGAAUCUUCCGCGAUGGGCGAAAGCCUGACGGUGCAACGCCGCGUGAGUGAUGAAGGUCUUCGGAUCGUAAAACUCUGUUAUUAGGGAAGAACAUAUGUGUAAGUAACUGUGCACAUCUUGACGGUACCUAAUCAGAAAGCCACGGCUAACUACGUG